Hyla sarda is the source of this 522-nucleotide long non-coding RNA. RefSeq lists it as uncharacterized. NCBI's taxonomy places the organism in Eukaryota, Metazoa, Chordata, Amphibia, Anura, Hylidae. The transcript is spliced from 5 exons. The record is from RefSeq and is a predicted model, not a curated record.
UCCCAUGUCCCUACGUCAUCGCAGCACUCCCGGAUAAACAUCACAAAACCCCGUACUUAAAUCGUCGGGGUGAUAAGCGCAUUUCUAUUGCGCUCAAGACAGUCAAAUGCCUACAUUGGUCCCCGGUCACCACAAAUAGUCACAAAAAGUUGCAAUCUACUGUGGACCAUGUUGAGGAACUUACAGCAGGAGGCAACAAAAAAGGGGGGUGACCGUUUCAACAUCGUAGACUCCAUGCAUGCCACGUCACAGACGCUGCCUGGGAUCGGGGGAAUCAAGCUGCAGGAUCCCACUCUAUGAUAUAUGCGAUACCAGAUGUUGUGCUCUGAGCGCAACACCACAGGGUGCGUUCGCCGAGCCACCCAGCUUUCCCAGUCUCUUGAAGCCCCAGCAGUUAUAAGCUGCUCUUCCUCCCUGCGCUUCCCACUUCUGUAGUGCAGGGAGGACAAUGCUGUACAGUACCCAGGGAUAUCCCCCCAGGGUGAAGAUGGGUAUCAGAAGCUCCCAAUGAAGAUUAUAUGG